AGAAGAGAGACGAGGAAGAGAUCCCAAAGGCCUCGCAAAUGCCUUCUCUAAAGCCCUGUGUACAUUAUAUUCAUGUCUAAGCUUCCUCUUUAGCUUAUCAACCUACAAUUUGAAUUUGAAAGAACACCAAAACAGAAAACCAAAUUGGAUAUUAGAGCUGAGAGAAUUUUAUACACAUAUUCAAAUAACGCCAUUUCCCUUUUGCCUAUUGGAUCGACGUUGAUUGGUAGAACCAAGUCCGUUGCUCCCUGGAGUCCCCAUUUUCUUUUCUUCUUUUUCGUAUAUUUAAGAGGAAAAUUAAAAGAAAAUAAACGAAUACAAAUCAAGCUAUGAAUCUCCACUAUGUACCCUAACCUUUCACCAAUCUCCUUCACUUUCUUUGCCACUAGCAGCUCGAUCUCAAUUGACAACUGCGCCACUAAAAGAUCGAGCCUCGAAGAUCGACCAUCUGCCACCUAGCUGCAGCUGGCUAACCGUGACUUCUUC
RNAcentral lists this long non-coding RNA (486 nucleotides) under Citrus sinensis (sweet orange). RNAcentral describes it as "long non-coding RNA (CSIN_LNC002367)". Lineage: Eukaryota; Viridiplantae; Streptophyta; Magnoliopsida; Sapindales; Rutaceae. The record is from RNAcentral.